CCAAUAGCGUAUAUUAAAGUUGUUGCAGUUAAAAAGCUCGUAGUUGAAUUUCGGGAUCAAUUUAUUGGUCGUGCUAUUGUACGUACUGGUAUUAUUGAUUCCUACCUUCUGACGAACCAUGAUGUCAUUAAUUUGGUGUCAUGGGGAAUCAGGACUGUUACUUUGAAAAAAUUAGAGUGUUUAAAGCAGGCUCACGCUUGAAUACAUUAGCAUGGAAUAACGAAAUAGGACGUUUGGUUCUAUUUUGUUGGUUUCUAGGAUCGACGUAAUGAUUAAUAGGGAUAGUUGGGGGCAUUAGUAUUCAAUUGUCAGAGGUGAAAUUCUUGGAUUUAUUGAAGACUAACUACUGCGAAAGCAUUUGCCAAGGAUGUUUUCAUUAAUCAAGAACGAAAGUUAGGGGAUCGAAGACGAUCAGAUACCGUCGUAGUCUUAACCAUAAACUAUGCCGACUAGGGAUCGGAUGAUGUUAAUUUUUUAAUGACUCAUUCGGCGCCUUACG
RNAcentral lists this ribosomal RNA (499 nucleotides) under uncultured Glomeromycotina. RNAcentral's name for it is "partial small subunit ribosomal RNA". It matches the Rfam family "Eukaryotic small subunit ribosomal RNA", at positions 591 to 1092 of the family's 1831-position model. The record is from RNAcentral. Lineage: Eukaryota; Fungi; Glomeromycota.